GGGUUGCGGACAGUGUCUGGUGGGUAGUUUGACUGGGGCGGUCUCCUCCCAAAGAGUAACGGAGGAGCACGAAGGUUAGCUAAUCCUGGUCGGACAUCAGGAGGUUAGUGCAAUGGCAUAAGCUAGCUUGACUGCGAGCGUGACGGCGCGAGCAGGUGCGAAAGCAGGUCAUAGUGAUCCGGUGGUUCUGAAUGGAAGGGCCAUCGCUCAACGGAUAAAAGGUACUCCGGGGAUAACAGGCUGAUACCGCCCAAGAGUUCAUAUCGACGGCGGUGUUUGGCACCUCGAUGUCGGCUCAUCACAUCCUGGGGCUGAAGUAGGUCCCAAGGGUACGGCUGUUCGCCGUUUAAAGUGGUACGCGAGCUGGGUUUAGAACGUCGUGAGACAGUUCGGUCCCUAUCUGCCGUGGGCGCUGGAGAAUUGAGGGGGGCUGCUCCUAGUACGAGAGGACCGGAGUGGACGCAUCACUGGUGUUCGGGUUGUCAUGCCAAUGGCAUUGCCCGGUAGCUAAAUGCGGAAAAGAUAAGUGCUGAAAGCAUCUAAGCACGAAACUUGCCCCGAGAUGAGUUCUCCCUGACUCCUUGAGAGUCCUGAAGGAACGUUGAAGACGACGACGUUGAUAGGUCGGGUGUGUAAGCGUAGCGAUACGUUGAGCUAACCGAUACUAAUGAACCGUGAGGCUUAACCUU
This 689-nucleotide ribosomal RNA is filed under the name Klebsiella terrigena. RNAcentral describes it as "bacterial LSU rRNA". It matches the Rfam family "Bacterial large subunit ribosomal RNA", at positions 2242 to 2925 of the family's 2925-position model. The record is from RNAcentral. Lineage: Bacteria; Pseudomonadati; Pseudomonadota; Gammaproteobacteria; Enterobacterales; Enterobacteriaceae.